Cercocebus atys (sooty mangabey) is the source of this 2776-nucleotide RNA transcript. It is a transcript of the gene named SET domain containing 6, with no coding region annotated. The transcript is spliced from 8 exons. The record is from RefSeq and is a predicted model, not a curated record. NCBI's taxonomy places the organism in Eukaryota, Metazoa, Chordata, Mammalia, Primates, Cercopithecidae.
CCGGCCGCCAGACCCUCGGCUUUCGAUCCAGAAACCGUAUUUUGUUCCUACACCCAGAAGGCAAGAAGCCUCAGCCCUCGGGGACAGACCAAAGGCCAGGGUUGUACCGGGCUCCGAACCAGGCUCCAAGCGGCACGGGACGCUCCUUCUACACUCUGACCGCGCGAGAGCAAUUGGAGAUCCUGGACUCAAGAUGUUUUCAGUAGGAACGAUUCCAGCCAGCGCUAACACCGGCCGGUCUGCAGCGUGGACGCCAAAACAGGCACCACGUGGUUCCGGCGCCGGGGCGGGGCCAGAGACGCCGGAAGUGGCCGCGCGCUCCACGGGCCCACCGGGAGGCGCGCUUUCAGACCAUGGCGACCCAAACGAAGCGCCCACGGGUGAGUGGCGGGUGCGGGGUCCAGCCUUCUCCUUCGCGCCUCACCCCUCCUCCACCCGCAGGGCCAUGCGCCUGCGCCCCCUCCGCUCCCUCCCGCGGGUCCCGCGCCCCUCUCCGCUCGUCCCCACCUCCACCCAAAGCUCGUUCUGCGCGCGCGCGUCGCGGUCUCCUGCCGUUCCCAGCGGGCUCUCUGGGGCCGGGCCUGGUCACUGCGCGCACUUAUCUCAGGUGGCGGGGCCUGUGGACCGCGGCGACCCGGAUCCUGUGGCCGGCUUCCUGAACUGGUGCCGGCUGGUGGGGCUGGAGCUGAGUCCCAAGGUGGCGGUCAGCCGGCAGGGCACGGUGGCCGGCUACGGCAUGGUGGCCCGGGAGAGCGUGCAGGCCGGAGAGCUGCUGUUCGUGGUACCGCGGGCCGCGCUCCUGUCGCAGCACACCUGCUCCAUUGGCAGCCUGCUGGAGCGAGAGCGAGGCGCGCUGCAGAGCCAGUCGGGCUGGGUGCCACUGCUGCUGGCGCUCCUCCACGAGCUGCAGGCCCCGGCCUCACGCUGGAGGCCGUACUUUGCGCUCUGGCCCGAGCUGGGCCGCUUGGAGCACCCGAUGUUUUGGCCAGAGGAGGAGCGCCGGUGCCUGCUGCAGGGCACAGGCGUACCUGAGGCCGUGGAGAAGGAUUUGGCCAACAUCCGCAGCGAGUACCACUCCAUCGUGCUGCCCUUCAUGGAAGCCCACCCCGAUCUCUUCAGCCUCAGGGUUCGCUCCCUAGAACUCUACCAUCAGCUCGUGGCCCUUGUGAUGGCCUAUAGCUUUCAGGAACCACUGGAAGAGGAGGAGGAUGAAAAGGAGCCCAACUCCCCAGUGAUGGUGCCUGCUGCAGACAUACUAAACCACUUAGCCAAUCACAAUGCCAAUUUAGAAUAUUCUGCGGGAUGAGGACAUUCACAGGCCAGAGAUCUAAGAUGAUCCUAGAACUGGUAUAAAGCUGUGUUUUUACCAGCUCUGUUCUAUACGGAAAAUUGCCUGAAAAGAUGACACAUUUAUAGGAUCGAAAAUUAGUUAAGUAUGGUUCUUAAUCCUUGCCUCCAUUUUCCUUUCCCACUUUGAUCUGCGAAAGUUUCAUUCCCCCGCCCCACCCCGCGCCGAGGAGUCUCGCUGUGUCACCCAGGCUGGAGUGCAGUGGCGUGAUCUGAGCUCACUACAACUUCCGCCUCCCGGGUUCAAGCAAUUCUCCCUGCUUCAACCUCUCAAGUAGCUGGGAUUACAGGCUCCCGACACCAUGCCCGGCUAAUUUUUGUAUUUUUUAGUAGUGACAGCGUUUCGCCAUGUUGGCCAGGCUGGUCUUGGAACUCCUGACCUCAAGUGAUUCACCCACCUUGGCCUCCCAAAGUGCUGGGAUUACAGGUGUGAGCCACCGCACCCGGCCAAAAAUUUCAUUUUUAAAGCUAGCAACUUUUUAAGUGCUGAAGAGGACUGUGCAGAAAUCCACCCACUUAAACAUGAAGCUGGCCUUUGAAAGUUAGCCUAACCCUUUUUUGUUUCACAGUUCAGGGUCUAACAGGAACUAAAGGUAGAACUUUGGUAGCUAACAGCAUCAGUCCCAUGGCUGAACUACACCUGCUAAAGGCUCUUAAGUGGAAGUAAUCUUCAUGGGGCUGGCCCGUGAAAGGCAUGGCCCCAGCUUCUCCCUUUCACCUCAGAAUUGUCUUCGGAUGGUAGCCACUCAGCCCAUUCCUAAAGGCCAUGAGAUUUUCAACACUUAUGGGCAAAUGGCUAACUGGCAACUGAUUCAUAUGUACGGUUUUGUUGAACCAUAUCCUGACAACACAGAUGACACAGCUGACAUUCAGAUGGUGACAGUUCGUGAGGCAGCAUUACAGGGAACAAAAACUGAAGCUGAAAGGCUCCUAGCGUAUGAGCGCUGGGAUUUCCUAUGCAAACUGGAGAUGGUAGGGGAAGAAGGAGCCUUUGUGAUAGGGAGGGAGGAGGUGCUAACUGAAGAGGAGCUGAUCACCACACUAAAGGUACUGUGCAUGCCUGCUGAGGAGUUCAGAGAGCUUAAAGACCAGGAUGGAGGGGGAGAUAAUAAAAGGGAAGAGGGCAGCCUGACGAUCACAAAUAUUCCCAAGCUCAAAGCAUCGUGGAGACAGCUGCUACGAAACAGUGUUCUAUUGACCUUACAGACCUAUGCCACAGACUUAAAAACUGACCAAGAUUUACUCAGUAAUAAGGAAGUCUAUGCCCAACUCAGCUGGAGGGAACAGCAAGCCUUACAGGUUCGCUAUGGUCAGAAGAUGAUCUUACAUCAGUUGUUGGAACUGACACAAGUUGGCAGUUUCCCUGUUCCCUGAAGGAACAGCAAUAAGAACUUUUAUUCUAAGCUAGUACUCAUUGAUGUUUGAAAAA